Molecule: ribosomal RNA, 119 nt
Filed under: Pteropus alecto (black flying fox)
Lineage: Eukaryota; Metazoa; Chordata; Mammalia; Chiroptera; Pteropodidae
Source: RNAcentral
GUCUACGGCCAUGCCACUCUGAACAUGCCCAAUCCCAUCUGAUCUCAGAAGUUAAGCAGGGGCAGCCCUGGUUAGUACUUGGAUGGGAGACCACUUAGGAAGACCAGGUGCUGUAGGCA